GAUGAACGCUGGCGGCGUGCCUAAUACAUGCAAGUCGAGCGAACAGACGAGGAGCUUGCUUCUCUGACGUUAGCGGCGGACGGGUGAGUAACACGUGGAUAACCUACCUAUAAGACUGGGAUAACUUCGGGAAACCGGAGCUAAUACCGGAUAAUAUAUUGAACCGCAUGGUUCAAUAGUGAAAGACGGUUUUGCUGUCACUUAUAGAUGGAUCCGCGCCGCAUUAGCUAGUUGGUAAGGUAACGGCUUACCAAGGCAACGAUGCGUAGCCGACCUGAGAGGGUGAGCGGCCACACUGGAACUGAGACACGGUCCAGACUCCUACGGGAGGCAGCAGUAGGGAAUCUUCCGCAAUGGGCGAAAGCCUGACGGAGCAACGCCGCGUGAGUGAUGAAGGUCUUCGGAUCGUAAAACUCUGUUAUUAGGGAAGAACAAAUGUGUAAGUAACUAUGCACGUCUUGACGGUACCUAAUCAGAAAGCCACGGCUAACUACGUG
This 497-nucleotide ribosomal RNA is filed under the name uncultured bacterium. RNAcentral describes it as "partial 16S ribosomal RNA". It matches the Rfam family "Bacterial small subunit ribosomal RNA", at positions 28 to 507 of the family's 1533-position model. The record is from RNAcentral.